ACUAGGAUCUGCUAAUAUAAGCAAUUGGGCCCAUGCCCCAAAAAUGAUAAUCCAACAUCUCCUAGUA
Molecule: transfer RNA, 67 nt
Filed under: Chamaeleo monachus (monarch chameleon)
Lineage: Eukaryota; Metazoa; Chordata; Lepidosauria; Squamata; Chamaeleonidae
Description: tRNA-Met
Source: RNAcentral